AGGAUGAACGCUAGCGGCAGGCUUAAUACAUGCAAGGUCGUGGGGCAGCGCAGGUAGCAAUACUGGGCGGCGACCGGCAAACGGGUGCGGAACACGUACACAACCUUCCGAGAAGUGGGGAAUAGCCCAGAGAAAUUUGGAUUAAUACCCCGUAACAUAACGAUGUGGCAUCACAUUGUUAUUAUAGCUUCGGCGCUUCUUGAUGGGUGUGCGGCUGAUUAGAUAGUUGGCGGGUAACGGCCCACCAAGUCUACGAUCAGUAGCUGAUGUGAGAGCAUGAUCAGCCACACGGGCACUGAGACACGGGCCCGACUCCUACGGGAGGCAGCAGUAAGGAAUAUUGGUCAAUGGACGCAAGUCUGAACCAGCCAUGCCGCGUGAAGGAUUAAGGUCCUCUGGAUUGUAAACUUCUUUUAUUUGGGAAGAAACCCACGAUUUCUAUUGUGGUUGACGGUACCAGAUGAAUAAGCACCGGCUAACUCCGUG
RNAcentral lists this ribosomal RNA (486 nucleotides) under uncultured bacterium. Its description in RNAcentral is "bacterial SSU rRNA". It matches the Rfam family "Bacterial small subunit ribosomal RNA", at positions 26 to 507 of the family's 1533-position model. The record is from RNAcentral.